RNAcentral lists this long non-coding RNA (1709 nucleotides) under Homo sapiens (human). RNAcentral's name for it is "HSALNT0378601". The record is from RNAcentral. Lineage: Eukaryota; Metazoa; Chordata; Mammalia; Primates; Hominidae.
UGGCCUCCCAAAGUGCUAGGAUUACAGCCAUGAGCCACCGCACCCAGCCACUUGGGAAGAUUCUUCAAGUGACCAUUUGGUCAAGCGCCCAAGCUUUUAUGUAGGCAAACCUCCUAGUUAUCCUAGGCAGGUGGUGGCCAAUUCUUUUAAAGAUUUCCAUGGCUCUCGAUACCCCCAUCAUACUCCAGCACCCAUCCUGCCCUGGCUUAUCCUGACAAAAGAUUUUUUCCCCCACAUUUACCUGAACUCUGUCUUCCUUGCUAUUCAGAGAAAAUGAAGAAGGAAAGAGAAAGAACUACAGAAUUACCAGGAUACAAGGAAUUUGCUGUUAAGAUCUUCUUAACCUUCCAGUUGCUUGGGAAUCAUUGCCGUAGGGUGUCUCUGUACUCAACAGAAGGGUGAAGACGUUUUAGCAACAGUAGCAAAGCAAAUGAUCUUGGACUUACAGUUUCUUGAUUUCCGAUGAUUAAGCUUCUGCACAUACCAACCCCAAGACAGGGUCAUUCUAUAACUUCUUAAUAAGGUUAAGGUAUUUCGACUACUUGGUCUUCAGUUUCCCUCAGUAAUAGAGACACCAAGAUCCUAUUGCUCUCCAGCAACCAGGCAGGAGAGAUUUGAGUCAGAGGAAAGCACGAGAGAGAAGUUAAGAACAGCAAUUUCUUAAGUCAUAAACGGAGUCAGGACUGUAAGUGUGAUUUUCUGUUACCUGCCCCAGACCUCAUGGAAUUAAACUUUCCUGCCCUGAUCCCUUGGAUUCGUUUCUCCAACCCCACUCACCUAGCCCGGCCUCCCCGAAACACAAAUUGGAAUGGCGUUGGCUCCCGGGCACACUAGGGGGCGCCAGCGGGCUUGUUUUCCAGGAUGGCCCUAAAAUUCUCUCCAGCGAGGAGAGGACCAUGACGGCCAGGCCACGCUUGCUCUGAAAAGCGCCGAGCGUGGAAGGGUGUCUUGGAAUGGGGUCUAAAAGGGAGAACGACAUCCUUAUGACUUGCUUUAGGCUGCUUUCUGGAUGUAUUUUCAGAGCUGGGGAUGAGGAGAGGUUGCGUAAAGGUGCCGGCCUGCUGCUGGCCGGGGCUGGCAGCCUUUCAGCCGCCGCGGAUAAAGUUUGAACUUUUGCCGGGAGUGUCCCUCCAAAACGAUCAUCAAUCAGACAGAAUAGCUGCAAAUACCAACUCACAGACCAGGUUGGGAAUUAGGUGAUAGGGUCUUGCUAUGUUGCCUCGGCUGGAAUGCAGUGGCUGUUCAUAGACAUUAUCACAGCACACUACAGUCUCAAACUCCUGGACUCAAGCAAUCCUCCUGCCUCAGCCUCCUGAGUAGCUAGGACUACUGGGAUGCACUACUGCUCUUGGCAAAUUAAGGAUUUUGAGAUGGAGAGACUAUCCUGGAUUAUCUGAUGGGCUUAAUCAUUGACAAAGGUUCUUAUAUAAGGAAAAGUCAAUGUGAUAAUGGAAGCAGAUUUGAAGAUGCUGUGCAACUGGCUUUGAAGAUGGAGGACGGGGCCACAAGCCAAGGAUUGUUGGCAGCCUCUAAGCUGGAAGAGGUAAGAAGCAUAUUCUCCUGUGGCACCUCCGGGAGAAAUGCAGUACUGCCUAUACCUUGACUUUAGCCAAGUGAAACUAAUUUUAGACUUCUCACCUCCAGAACUGUAAGAUAAUAAAUUUGUGUUGAUUUAAGACACUAUGUUUGUGGUAAUUGGUUACAGCAAU